GAUGAACGCUGGCGGCGUGCCUAAUACAUGCAAGUCGAGCGAACAGACGAGGAGCUUGCGCCUCUGACGUUAGCGGCGGACGGGUGAGUAACACGUGGAUAACCUACCUAUAAGACUGGGAUAACUUCGGGAAACCGGAGCUAAUACCGGAUAAUAUAUUGAACCGCAUGGUUCAAUAGUGAAAGACGGUUUUGCUGUCACUUAUAGAUGGAUCCGCGCCGCAUUAGCUAGUUGGUAAGGUAACGGCUUACCAAGGCAACGAUGCGUAGCCGACCUGAGAGGGUGAUCGGCCACACUGGAACUGAGACACGGUCCAGACUCCUACGGGAGGCAGCAGUAGGGAAUCUUCCGCAAUGGGCGCAAGCCUGACGGAGCAACGCCGCGUGAGUGAUGAAGGUCUUCGGAUCGUAAAACUCUGUUAUUAGGGAAGAACAAAUGUGUAAGUAACUAUGCCCGUCUUGACGGUACCUAAUCAGAAAGCCCCGGCUAACUACGUG
This 497-nucleotide ribosomal RNA is filed under the name uncultured bacterium. Its description in RNAcentral is "partial 16S ribosomal RNA". It matches the Rfam family "Bacterial small subunit ribosomal RNA", at positions 28 to 507 of the family's 1533-position model. The record is from RNAcentral.